Small nucleolar RNA from Gossypium raimondii (Peruvian cotton), 108 nucleotides. It matches the Rfam family "Plant small nucleolar RNA R71". From Rfam's summary of the family: R71 is a member of the C/D box family of snoRNAs containing the C (UGAUGA) and D (CUGA) box motifs. NCBI's taxonomy places the organism in Eukaryota, Viridiplantae, Streptophyta, Magnoliopsida, Malvales, Malvaceae. The record is from Rfam.
AUCCCAUGAUGAGGACACUUACGAAGUAACUCCUUGAAUCACUCCCAAGCCUCAUACAAAAGACUCGUCAUCCAAUUGUUCGAAAGUUGUGAUUUCGUUCCUCAACUU